Malania oleifera is the source of this 93-nucleotide small nucleolar RNA. RefSeq annotates it as small nucleolar RNA snoR1. The record is from RefSeq and is a predicted model, not a curated record. NCBI's taxonomy places the organism in Eukaryota, Viridiplantae, Streptophyta, Magnoliopsida, Santalales, Ximeniaceae. The transcript has a single exon.
GGCAAAGAUGAAGAGAGCUUUAAUAUUCUGACACCUCUUGUAUGAGAAGGGCUUUGAGCACUUCUCUGAGCACAGAUAGCGACUCUCUGAGCC